UACGAAGGGGGCGAGCGUUGUUCGGAAUUACUGGGCGUAAAGGGCGCGUAGGCGGCGACCCAAGUCAGAUGUGAAAGUCCUGGGCGUAACCUGGGGACUGCAUUUGAUACUGGGUUGCUUGAAUUCGGGAGAGGAUAGCGGAAUUCCCAGUGUAGAGGUGAAAUUCGUAGAUAUUGGGAAGAACACCGGUGGCGAAGGCGGCUAUCUGGACCGACAUUGACGCUGAGGCGCGAAAGCGUGGGGAGCAAACAGG
Molecule: ribosomal RNA, 253 nt
Filed under: uncultured bacterium
Lineage: Bacteria
Description: partial 16S ribosomal RNA
Rfam family: Bacterial small subunit ribosomal RNA
Source: RNAcentral